GAUGAACGCUGGCGGCGUGCCUAAUACAUGCAAGUCGAGCGAACGGACGGGAAGCUUGCUUCUCUGAUGUUAGCGGCGGACGGGUGAGUAGCACGUGGAUAACCUACCUAUAAGACUGGGAUAACUUCGGGAAACCGGAGCUAAUACCGGAUAAUAUUUUGAACCGCAUGGUUCAAAAGUGAAAGACGGUCUUGCUGUCACUUAUAGAUGGAUCCGCGCUGCAUUAGCUAGUUGGUAAGGUAACGGCUUACCAAGGCAACGAUGCAUAGCCGACCUGAGAGGGUGAUCGGCCACACUGGAACUGAGACACGGUCCAGACUCCUACGGGAGGCAGCAGUAGGGAAUCUUCCGCAAUGGGCGAAAGCCUGACGGAGCAACGCCGCGUGAGUGAUGAAGGUCUUCGGAUCGUAAAACUCUGUUAUUAGGGAAGAACAUAUGUGUAAGUAACUGUGCACAUCUUGACGGUACCUAAUCAGAAAGCCACGGCUAACUACGUG
RNAcentral lists this ribosomal RNA (497 nucleotides) under uncultured bacterium. RNAcentral's name for it is "partial 16S ribosomal RNA". It matches the Rfam family "Bacterial small subunit ribosomal RNA", at positions 28 to 507 of the family's 1533-position model. The record is from RNAcentral.